UGCGCGGUUCCCUUGUGCGUCUAGUAAAACAAUACACAACAAUAAUCUCCCGUAGCUAUAUACGCACGGCUGUUUGACACAACUACACCAAUUACCAGCUCACAACUGAGAACAUCUCACAAUAUACACGAAACAAACAAUCAAGCUGCCUAUUUGUUGACAAUACUUUGGCAGCAUGUCACCUAACCCAUAAUCUUCUUCAGCCAGAGGUUACUCACUAUCCAUGAUGGGCACAAGCUUAGGCACAGUUACAAUCGCAGGGUUUAUAGACCUGCCGGCUUUCUCUACAAGAAAGGCAACAACGCAAUUUUCUAGCACGUCUUCUUGACCUCACGCCUUCGUGUGGUAGCAACUUGUUAUUUUAGGCUACAUGAGAGUCUAACUCGCAACGUAGUUAAAGGCCUACCUCGACCGGCUACUGAUCUCUAUUCGACCGCGUGUACUCCUUCGGGCAGGAAAUCUAGUGUACUGUGCCGAACAGCGCCGUGUAGGAAGCGAGCUUACAGCUUCCCGGCGUACUCGUUGCAAUUACUCACUUGAUACAGAGCACGUGUCAUAGGAUCAGCUAUGCCGUAGAUUACAUACAAUACGCAUACGUAUGAGGCAAGCACGGGAAUAGGAGCAGCCCAAUAUGCACUUAUUGGAGUAAUGGAAGCGUUUUUUAUUUAUAUUGUUCUAACGCUUAUAUAUGACGUUUUUUUUUUUAUCGGCUUAACUUAUACCUGUUGUUACAUCUCGGUUCGUGUCGAUCUUCUAUUUGGUUCGUCCUGCUAAGCGCCGAUGAUUCGUUUAUCAUUCGGUUGACGCUUACAGUUUCGUCCCUGCCGUUCUUGUCUCCCUUUGCGCAUAGUGCGUGGUAACAACAAUGGGAAGCGGCUUUGUCGUGUGUAAACGCCACUGCAGUUCUAUCAGAGGCGGAGAUAGCCUUGCCGCCCACUCGCGUUUUUGGACGCUACUUGUUCGGGUCCGUUUGCGUUGGGCUGGAGCAAAAAAUAAAGAGCCUCCUGGAUCUUAAGCUGAUCCGUUCGUAAAUUUCGUCUUUGUUUUGUCAGAUGGAUUCUGCAUGUAAGCUCAGCAUACGUUUGACUUGAUGUGAUUGGUAUUUAUUGCUAUGUAAUUUUUCUACGUUUGGUUUAGAUCCACUGUAGAACGCUCCUGGUGUUCUCCAUAUAUAUAUAUAUAUAUAUGAGGCUUUGUUUGUUCAGCCGAGCUCUUGUGUUCCCAGGUAAACUAACCGUAUACCACUGGAUUGAUCACUUAGAUCACUGGCGAUGCUAGCGGCGUUAUUUGAAGCUUCUGUCUGGUUGUUACAAGCACCCUAUUAUACAUCAUAACUGGUAAAAGCGACCGGUUAGUUUCAGACCAAUCGUAAUGAUCUAGCUAGGAUCUAAGUAGGUACAUGUGGGCCAACAUGGCAUGAGCACAGCACAAAGGCUGAAAUAACAAAUGAUGUUAUGCUAUUGGGAAUCCAAUUGACGAGUAACAGCCGCAGCUUGGUGAACGUCAGACGUUCGCGUAACGUACAGAGGCGCGCGCGCACACACACACACACCACAAUACGGAAACGUCGCUUGUAAAGGAUCCGGUCCAACGAGUAGACCUCGUUGUCGGACUCGACUACUGGCCAAAUCGGCCGCCUUUUCCCACACGUUCCGAAAUGGAACUCCGCUACACUGCUCUGCCGUCGUGAGCACUCUGUUGAGUCUCAGCGAUACUCACUCACGUUGGAUUUGAACGCUAUAGGGCGACGUUGCGCCCGGGCCGAAUGCCGCCAGGCGACUUUAUACUACUAACCUAUGUACAGCUAGCAUAUCGGCUCAUAGCAGAGCUUUCCGAGCAGCUCUGAAUCAACCUGUCAGCCCUGUUUUACCGCUCCGUGCUAGAUCUGUCGGGAACUGUGUUCGGCUAAAUCUACCUUACUAAGCGUUACGGGAAACACACUAAACGAGCGGAUUCUGUGUAGCGAUGAAAAAAAGAAUGCCACCGCCAGUACAGAUAUUUUCAACAAUGUCGUAUGACGAUUCAGUGGUGGGUUUGAACAAUAUUGCCUCAAUAGGAAAAGUAAUGAUAAUAGCAGUCGUAAUGUUAGACGUUGUUCUUGUUACGAUUGUUGACAUUACGAUACCCGUACCAGUCAGUCGUGUGUUGUCCUUCCACUGAUAGGGAUGUUCGAGAGUGAGCUUUGUCGAACGCCCAAUUUGGCACCAAUUGACCUGGGCUGAUCGUUUACAAAAUACAGCCACUGCAGCACAGGAGCAAACGCGUGUGAAUAAUUAGAAUAUUCGUCUGCGGCGAAUCAUCCCCGCAUUACACACACACGUUAACUAUAGUAAUAUAACCAUUUGCCAUGUAUCGACAAACGGUUCCGCACUGUCAACUAUAUGAAGCAAAUCUUCCAUGAUUCUUCUUCGUGUCUUCUACUCCAAUCAACGAGCGUCGUUUUAGUGCAUUUCGGCUCACUUUUAAUCAUCUCACUUCCGCUGCCUUCUAUACGUCACUCUUUCAUUCAGUUCUACCCCCGUACUGCAGCCCACAGCCCUUCACCUUCACCCUCACCCUCAGUUGCGCUUGUCAUUCAUUUGAUCGUCGCAAAAUUAUCGCCGAUAAAUGUCGUCGUCAUCAUCCAUCUAUUGUCUGAUCCGGAUGACGGUUGGCUUGGCCAAGUGAUAUGAGCCGUGAGUUGUGUUUCACAGACGGUUAACGAAACAAACCAUCUGUCCUAUGCACGAGCAAAUCAGUCCGGCGGCCACGAAUGAACGUACCGACAGCAUACGCCCCGCAGCACAACUGCUCGUGUCAGAAACGGCGGUGGCAGCAAACUGACGGUGUGUAAUAAACAACAAAUACACUUGUCCGCGAGCAACAAAUAAGCAAUAGAAGGGGGUGGUCAUGUACAGCAGGAACAGCGAUCGACAUCGACUCUUAAACUGAAGUACACAAGGGCGAGCACACCGCUGCCAAUGACGACGAACUGCUGCUACCGCUUGUGCCGCACCGGGGUGACGAGCUCUCUCAGCCGCUGACUCAGCACAGCACAGCACAGCAGCAGCAGUGACGACGACGACGACGACACCACAACUAGACUGUUCUUGACUGCAACCGCUCACGGCGACACGGCCAAACGGAUUGUUCGUUCGUUCGUUCGCAGCAUCAAGUCCGACAGCACCGAGUAGCAACAGCGGUCAGUAGAAACUGCUGCAGCAGCAGCACACGAACGAAACGAAUGGCUGCUGUGGCGGCCGAAGAAACAAUCAAAAAGAGCCACAAUAGCGGUGUCUGUUGUGAGAACCUCUUUCGUUCGACUGUCCAACUUGACCGUCUGUCCAGUCCGUGAGCGCUCGCUGUGUCGGCCUGUGUUCUGGCCUAUUCGCUCCGGCGCCGACGCGAUGUCAACGACGACAACGGCGACGAGGACCUCCUCCGCUGCUGCUGGCGCCGCCGCAACUGGUCAGAUGAGUUCGUCGCCUAGUGCUCACUCACGACAAAUGUGCUAGCGUUACGCUCGCUCACCGACUACUCUAGCAGCCGGCUUCCGCGCCAGCGAAAUCGAAACCACUCACGAAUUAUGUAAACAAUACGACCAAUCGCUAGUAGGAAUGGUGGCAACAAUCAUAGCCGUUACCUAAAUUAGUUUACUAGAAGAAUGAGUAGUUGAUCACAAAAACUAUUACAUAAUAAUAACAACAUUCCGUAACAAAUUUGGAAAAGUCGGAACUCCAGUGUGCUAGCUUUGCAAACACUCCUUGUUGCGCUCGUCCGCUCAAAAUUGCCGUUUAAUGUUUGUCGUAGCAGCUUCGCUAUAGAGAUGAUAAUAAAACGGCAAGAUAAAAGGGUAGCGUCAGCAGAAGAGUAGUUGCAUUGUCGCGCGAGAUAGCAUAAAUAAAUUAUUUAUCGUAGAAACAACAAACGGAAACGAGUUGGAAUCGAUGCAAAAUCAAUCCCACUAUCGUAACGACGGGUUAACUGUGACGAGAAUCGGGAUAUAUCACAAUCUAUAGAACAGAGUUGUGUGUGUGUAUAGGUGCGCAGAUCGUCCGACGGCAGACCAGAUUGUUGCUGCUGGUAGAGAGGAAGCCGUGAUCUGGGACGACAGCGCGGAAAUGAACACUAUUAUCGAAUUAACUCGACUGAAAACUUUAGCGGAUCGUUCAUCCUAGGUUCGAACCCCGCCGUGAACAUGUUUAGAGAAACAGGCGGUUAUGGUUAUGGAAGAGCAUGUUAUUUGUACGCGGUUGAUCUGACGGUUACUAAAGACGAUAGUAGAAGUUCGAACACCAUUUUGUCUUCAGAAAACCGACAAAAUAUAUUAAAUUCGUGGCCGGAUUUGCAGUUUCUCUCAUGGAAUUCUAACGCCUUUUCUCGCUCCACAUAACUAGGAAGCCACACUAGAUACAUAACGAUAUUAGAUUUCCAAGUAGUCGUACUUCUUAGAGAAAAACUACGAAUCGUAGUUAGCUUGAAGCGAGUGGAGCGACGUCUGCAACUGGUCGUCAUCAUCAACCGUGCGGCAAGGUUCAGAUGCUAUCACCGAUUAAGACGAGCACGAUCAAGCAAUGAUGUUAUGUGCUUGAUGCCAAAUACCCAUACUGCAAAGCCCACAAUUCAUACAUAAGCACGCGUCAGCUGUUAUUUUUACCCAAUGUCAAUAUUGUUCGCGCACCUAUAUGAACGUCACAUGGUUACAAGGAGCCGAGCACGCGCAUCUUACGAGCUCGAUAGUCGUAAAGUCCGGGGAAACUUCACAACCGAAAAUUGUGCGGCACUUCAGACCGAAGCUGGGCCAACAGAAUAUCCUAGCCGUCCUCGUGCUACUACUGUAAUCAAAUACAAGUACAGGGACUAUCAAAAACCUGUCAAUAUGAACGUGAUUGCCCAGUGAAUCAACAGGCCUUCCUUUAGGCAUUAGUACAGCGUGGUGAUGAUAGGAUACUGGCUCGUAACUGUCGGGAGUGGGUUAAGGCCAAUUACACCAGACACAGGUGUAGUCCAAUCUCAGGUAAAUUUAUUAUUAUAAUUAUUUGCAAAAUAGGUUCCGCUAAGUGUGCAGCAAUUAAAGAAAACAGUUGCAGCUCAAUCUAUGGAACCAUCGACCUCAUCGAUCAGUGUCAUCACAGUUAUAUCUAUCAAAUGACGAAAAAAAUAUUCGACUCUCUUACCUGUUGACGGUAAGUUUUAUAGAGGAUUCCGUAAAAUCCCGCAUAUUCUGCCGGCGCAAACAAUAUCCCGUCGCGCACACCCUAGUAACUUGUCCACUCUAUGUUUCGCAACUUUUGGAUGAGACUAUAGAGAGCUUAGGGCAAGCUAUAUUGACGUGAUGACGUUUUCCAAUAUACUUGAUAAUAAAAGUCGUGCCUUUUUCAGCACUAGUAGUCAAUUAUUCAAUUUUUUGCAAGCUUUCUAACAUCACAUUAUCGCCGCAUCCGGCUUCUGCAUAACAACACUCCAGAAUUUCGUUCUGAGGGUGAU
This is a long non-coding RNA of Varroa destructor (honeybee mite), 5466 nucleotides long. RefSeq lists it as uncharacterized. The record is from RefSeq and is a predicted model, not a curated record. NCBI's taxonomy places the organism in Eukaryota, Metazoa, Arthropoda, Arachnida, Mesostigmata, Varroidae.